GAUGAACGCUGGCGGCGUGCCUAAUACAUGCAAGUCGAGCGAACAGAUAAGGAGCUUGCUCCUUUGACGUUAGCGGCGGACGGGUGAGUAACACGUGGGUAACCUACCUAUAAGACUGGGAUAACUUCGGGAAACCGGAGCUAAUACCGGAUAACAUUUGGAACCGCAUGGUUCUAAAGUGAAAGAUGGUUUUGCUAUCACUUAUAGAUGGACCCGCGCCGUAUUAGCUAGUUGGUAAGGUAACGGCUUACCAAGGCGACGAUACGUAGCCGACCUGAGAGGGUGAUCGGCCACACUGGAACUGAGACACGGUCCAGACUCCUACGGGAGGCAGCAGUAGGGAAUCUUCCGCAAUGGGCGAAAGCCUGACGGAGCAACGCCGCGUGAGUGAUGAAGGGUUUCGGCUCGUAAAACUCUGUUAUUAGGGAAGAACAAAUGUGUAAGUAACUGUGCACGUCUUGACGGUACCUAACCAGAAAGCCACGGCUAACUACGUG
Molecule: ribosomal RNA, 497 nt
Filed under: uncultured bacterium
Lineage: Bacteria
Description: partial 16S ribosomal RNA
Rfam family: Bacterial small subunit ribosomal RNA
Source: RNAcentral